Molecule: ribosomal RNA, 253 nt
Filed under: uncultured bacterium
Lineage: Bacteria
Description: partial 16S ribosomal RNA
Rfam family: Bacterial small subunit ribosomal RNA
Source: RNAcentral
UACAGAGGUCUCAAGCGUUGUUCGGAUUCAUUGGGCGUAAAGGGUGCGUAGGUGGCGCCAUAAGUCGGGUGUGAAAUCUCGGGGCUUAACUCCGAAACUGCAUUCGAUACUGUGGUGCUUGAGGACUGGAGAGGAGACUGGAAUUCAUGGUGUAGCAGUGAAAUGCGUAGAGAUCAUGAGGAAGACCAGUGGCGAAGGCGGGUCUCUGGACCGAUACUGACGCUGAGGAGCGAAAGCGUGGGGAGCGAACAGG